This is a small nucleolar RNA of Nylanderia fulva, 231 nucleotides long. RefSeq annotates it as small nucleolar RNA U3. The record is from RefSeq and is a predicted model, not a curated record. Lineage: Eukaryota; Metazoa; Arthropoda; Insecta; Hymenoptera; Formicidae.
AAAAUCAUAUUAUAUCAUUAGGCGGUUUGACAAUUUAGCAUUUGAUCUUAUUCUACUUCCCUAACAUGGGAGUAGAUGUAGAUACCACGAUGAGGAAAGAUUGCUCUUUUCCCUGAGCGUGAGAACGACACGAGUUCUUGACUUGUUUCGAGAACUCUGUCAUCGAUGACCGUUCACUCUUUGCGCUUAGCGCUGCAGUGAGGAUGGGAAGUAGAGCUUUUUCUGAGUGGU